GCGAUUGAGUCGCUUUGGCUUUCGCACUCAAACCACUGGAAGUGUGACCUUUACUCUUAAUUGUAUCCAGCAUGCCAGGGCCUUUAUUGAUGCCAGCACCCUGAAGAAAAGAAGACAAACUGUUCUGGAUCAGCUGGGCGGCCACAGUCAGCAGGGCUCUGUCUAUAAUGUUCUGGAAGCGUUUCAGAGGGCACAAAAGCGCAUGCAGGAGGCAAGAGAGACUUUACCCAGAGAUCACAUCAACUCCUCUGCACAACUAA
This is a long non-coding RNA of Sinocyclocheilus rhinocerous, 260 nucleotides long. RefSeq lists it as uncharacterized. The record is from RefSeq and is a predicted model, not a curated record. Lineage: Eukaryota; Metazoa; Chordata; Actinopteri; Cypriniformes; Cyprinidae. The transcript is spliced from 3 exons.